CUUCCUCUUCCUCCUUCAUGGGACUGACAGACAUGUGGCUGCUGUCCUGACAGCGUGUCUGUGCAGGAUAGUGUUUGGCCUCCCACAAAGCUGUGAAUUGACUGGGAGCUGGACUGCCCUGGAGUCUGUGUGGGAGCGGUGUGUUUCCUGCAGCCGCCGCCACUGCUGUAUCGGGCUGUGUAUGCUCUCCUUCAUGCUGCCAGUGGUGCAGUCAUCAGCUGCAGUUGACCCCAGGCUUCACUGCUGUUUUGGCUCUCCUUCUUUGGAUGUGCUUGACACCUGCUCGUCGCACCACGGCCUCCUCAGUACACCCUGCUGCCCUAGUGGCCUGUUGGACCACCCAGGCUCCUUGAGAAGUGUGGCUCUCCUGCAUCGAGCCUAGGAGCUUGGGCAUGCGCCGUGCUCAGGCAUUUUUAGAAAUGCAGACGCACUCUUCCUUCUGAUUUUCUUCUUUUUUCCCCUCUUUCUG
Long non-coding RNA from Salarias fasciatus (jewelled blenny), 469 nucleotides. RefSeq lists it as uncharacterized. Lineage: Eukaryota; Metazoa; Chordata; Actinopteri; Blenniiformes; Blenniidae. The transcript is spliced from 3 exons. The record is from RefSeq and is a predicted model, not a curated record.